UGCCGGAUCAUCUAGUGGUAGGAUGCAAGUUUCUGGCACUUGUCACCGGGGUUCGAAUCCCUGUCCGGCAG
This 71-nucleotide transfer RNA is filed under the name Candidatus Kaiserbacteria bacterium. Its description in RNAcentral is "tRNA-Gln". It matches the Rfam family "tRNA". From Rfam's summary of the family: Transfer RNA (tRNA) molecules are approximately 80 nucleotides in length. Their secondary structure includes four short double-helical elements and three loops (D, anti-codon, and T loops). Further hydrogen bonds mediate the characteristic L-shaped molecular structure. tRNAs have two regions of fundamental functional importance: the anti-codon, which is responsible for specific mRNA codon recognition, and the 3' end, to which the tRNAs corresponding amino acid is attached (by aminoacyl-tRNA synthetases). tRNAs cope with the degeneracy of the genetic code in two manners: having more than one tRNA (with a specific anti-codon) for a particular amino acid; and 'wobble' base-pairing, i.e. permitting non-standard base-pairing at the 3rd anti-codon position. Lineage: Bacteria; Candidatus Kaiseribacteriota. The record is from RNAcentral.